Molecule: long non-coding RNA, 197 nt
Organism: Xiphias gladius (swordfish)
Lineage: Eukaryota; Metazoa; Chordata; Actinopteri; Istiophoriformes; Xiphiidae
Exons: 3
Source: RefSeq, a predicted model, not a curated record
ACUUGCCCUUUUGGUUGCAGCUCUGCCAUCUGACACUAAGCCAGGAACCUACUGUCCACAUAUGCGUAAACCUGUCAAGGAGGUGACCUAUCUUGUUGGAGAGAUCUGUUUGACAAACAUCUGCAGAGACCAGCGACAACAGGCUGAAACUGAGGACAGCAAGCAGCUGGUGCACACACCACCCAAACAAAAAGAGG